AGUGAACGCUGGCGGUAGGCCUAACACAUGCAAGUCGAACGGCAGCACAGUAAGAGCUUGCUCUUACGGGUGGCGAGUGGCGGACGGGUGAGGAAUACAUCGGAAUCUACUUUUUCGUGGGGGAUAACGUAGGGAAACUUACGCUAAUACCGCAUACGACCUACGGGUGAAAGCAGGGGAUCUUCGGACCUUGCGCGAUUGAAUGAGCCGAUGUCGGAUUAGCUAGUUGGCGGGGUAAAGGCCCACCAAGGCGACGAUCCGUAGCUGGUCUGAGAGGAUGAUCAGCCCCACUGGAACUGAGAACCGGGCCAGACCCCUACGGGAGGCAGCAGUGGGGAAUUUUGGACAAGGGGCGAAAGCCUGAUCCAGCCAUACCGCGGGGGUGAAGAAGGCCUUCGGGUUGUAAAGCCCUUUUGUUGGGAAAGAAAAGCAGCAGGUUAAUACCCCGCUGUUCUGACGGGACCAAAAGAAUAAGCACCGGCUAACUUCGU
RNAcentral lists this ribosomal RNA (491 nucleotides) under uncultured bacterium. Its description in RNAcentral is "partial 16S ribosomal RNA". It matches the Rfam family "Bacterial small subunit ribosomal RNA", at positions 29 to 506 of the family's 1533-position model. The record is from RNAcentral.